This 402-nucleotide ribosomal RNA is filed under the name uncultured bacterium. RNAcentral describes it as "bacterial SSU rRNA". It matches the Rfam family "Bacterial small subunit ribosomal RNA", at positions 362 to 758 of the family's 1533-position model. The record is from RNAcentral.
UAUUGGACAAUGGGCGCAAGCCUGAUCCAGCAAUACCGCGUGUGUGAAGAAGGCCUUAGGGUUGUAAAGCACUUUCAAUUGGGAGGAAAACCUGCCGGUCAAUACCCGGUAGCUUGACAUUACCUUUAGAAGAAGCACCGGCUAACUCCGUGCCAGCAGCCGCGGUAAUACGGAGGGUGCGAGCGUUAAUCGGAAUUACUGGGCGUAAAGCGUGCGUAGGCGGUUCGUUAAGUCAGAUGUGAAAGCCCUGGGCUCAACCUGGGAACUGCAUUUGAAACUGGCGGGCUAGAGUUUAGUAGAGGGGAGUGGAAUUUCAGGUGUAGCGGUGAAAUGCGUAGAUAUCUGAAGGAACACCAGUGGCGAAGGCGACUCCCUGGACUAGAACUGACGCUGAGUACGAAA